Molecule: ribosomal RNA, 117 nt
Filed under: Clostridiales bacterium
Lineage: Bacteria; Bacillati; Bacillota; Clostridia; Eubacteriales
Source: RNAcentral
UCCAGUGACUAUAGCGAGGAGGAUACACCUGUUCCCAUCUCGAACACAGUAGUUAAGCUCCUUAGCGCCGACGGUACUCGGUGGGUGACUGCCCGGGAGAAUAGGACAUCGCUGGUU